CCUACGGGAGGCAGCAGUGGGGAAUUUUGGACAAUGGGCGCAAGCCUGAUCCAGCCAUGCCGCGUGUGGGAAGAAGGCCUUCGGGUUGUAAACCACUUUUGUCAGGGAAGAAACGGCUUUUUCUAAUACAGAGAGCUAAUGACGGUACCUGAAGAAUAAGCACCGGCUAACUACGUGCCAGCAGCCGCGGUAAUACGUAGGGUGCAAGCGUUAAUCGGAAUUACUGGGCGUAAAGCGUGCGCAGGCGGCUUUGCAAGACAGAUGUGAAAUCCCCGGGCUCAACCUGGGAACUGCAUUUGUGACUGCAUGGCUAGAGUACGGUAGAGGGGGAUGGAAUUCCGCGUGUAGCAGUGAAAUGCGUAGAUAUGCGGAGGAAUACCGAUGGCGAAGGCAAUCCCCUGGACCUGUACUGACGCUCAUGCACGAAAGCGUGGGGAGCAAACAGGAUUAGAUACCCUGGUAGUCCACGCCCUAAACGAUGUCAACUGGUUGUUGGACGGCUUGCUGUUCAGUAACGAAGCUAACGCGUGAAGUUGACCGCCUGGGGAGUACGGCCGCAAGGUUGAAACUCGAAAUGAAUUGACGGCUGAGACCGNGCGAGGACGACGACGAGGGAGGAGG
This 621-nucleotide ribosomal RNA is filed under the name uncultured bacterium. RNAcentral describes it as "bacterial SSU rRNA". It matches the Rfam family "Bacterial small subunit ribosomal RNA", at positions 338 to 951 of the family's 1533-position model. The record is from RNAcentral.